UGCGCUGUGGAGCUUGGUUAGUCCCUAUGGCAGUCCUUGUUAGUCAUCCCACGCCAACUCUGGAGGCCUGGUGCAGGAGUUCAGGAUGAGGGCUGAUGUAGCCCCUGGGUUUGGGUCCAGCUUCAGCAUGUUUCUGUAAAGUUUUCUCCUGUAUAGCGGCGCGGUAUUCAGCUAUAGCCUUGGAGUGUAGAGUAGUGUCUCGCUGGUCCAAGAUUCUUUGGUUGGGUGAGUUGUCGGAAUGUUGGGGUUGCUCGGUGGUCCAGCUCCUGUGUGUGGGAGCAGGUGCGUAU
This is a non-coding RNA of Pelobates cultripes (western spadefoot toad), 290 nucleotides long. The record is from the annotation of a GenBank genome assembly. Lineage: Eukaryota; Metazoa; Chordata; Amphibia; Anura; Pelobatidae.